GCCUCCUUGGCGAGCCUCUCCUCCUCCCCCUCUCCUGGGGCUUGGGCCCGUAUCCUUGCAGCCCCGCAAGCGCCUGGGCCCGGCGAGGGGCAGGUCAGGGCUGGGGGUUUUGCCCUCUGCCCUGGCUGCUGACCCGCCCCAGCCCAGGCAGCUGCAGGGGGAAAAGCCACACUCUCUUCUCCUGCACCUGCAAGCCCUUCUGAAAUGCAGCCCGUGCUGCAAGCUCCUGGCACAGUAGGCACCAGGAUUUUUCCCUGCUUUAAUUGUCCAGUUGCUUAGGACUCAGAACUGGUGGCAGAGAUGAUAUCUUUCAUUAGACCUACUAGAUAUUUGCAAAAAACAAAAGAAGAUUUGCAAGCUUUUGGGCACACUUGCCCUUCCUCAGGCAUAGGAGAGCAAAGAUUGUAAAAUUUCUCCUAAGUGAAAAUGAGAACUCGCAUUUCACAGGGGAGCUGGAAGUGUAAGAUCGAGUGUUUUGGCUGAGACAAGAGCUUGGUUCUUUGUCCAGCUCUUUUCCCCCUCCUGCUUGGGGGCCAUCCCGGGUGCCUCGGUUUCACUCUGUGAAAUGGGGAUAAUGCUGCUGACUGACCCACUUUUCACCCCCCGGGAUCAAAGAUGCGAUCCGAGUUCAAAGUGUGGCUGCUGUAGGGUGUUAUUGCCAAAUUUAUGAUAAGCGCUUCCAUUGGGUAUUUGAUAACAACAGGAGAAUCAGUCAAACGCUCUUGAUGCAUCGCAUGGUCCCAGAUACCUUUAAGAACCUCUUUGUGUGCCAUCCCACCCCCUGAGGUCCGGGAGGAUGGGGCUGGUGGAGCCUGGAUUGCAGGAGCAGAAGGGGUACAGUCUGUGUCCUUGCCUCAGGCCCCUGAACUGUGGAACGCUUUUCUUUUUGACCUGAAGAGGACUACUGGAUUUAGCCCCUUUUAAAACAGAUUCUUAUAACAUGCAUCAAUGUUACAUGCCUGAAUACAAUUUGUGUGAAUUCAGCAACAGUUUAAGUUUAUAUUUAAGUUUUCAUGGAAGUCAGUUCCUAGUUCCUUACAGACGGAUGCCACUAACACACUGCAGCACUCCAAAGCUACAAGGACAGGAGGCUAACUAAAGGCAAACUCCAUUUUUAUUUUUGCAUUUGAACGCAAAAACUAUAUUCUUGCAUGUAAAACUAAAACCACGUAUGCAGACCUGCCUGUUUGAAGCCUUGUGAAGAGGUUAAACUGAGGGUGAAAUUUAGAGCUAAAUUGUGCUGAUUUUAUUAGCUUUCCAUUUGCAUUGACACAACAUAAAUUACUUCCUUUUAAAAUGUAAUCAAAGCAAAUUAUAUCCCGUGUGUUUUAAACAGCUGGUAAAACUCAUGAAAUUUUUUAUUCUGGGAUAUAAACAAGUAGAAUCUCCAUGUGUGUCUGUAUCCUAAAAGCAGCUAUAAAACAAUUUUCUUGGACACUGCAGAGAUUUCAUCUCUAUUUUGCCUUAACCUCACAGUAAUUAGAAGGAUCAUUAUUGCUGAAACACUACCUGCAUGGCAUUAUGUGAGGGUUGGUGAAUGCUUACUCACAAGUAGUCCCAUAAAAGUCAAGUAGAUUACUUAUGAACAAGUGUAAGGUUGCACAAUGGGAUUCUAAACUAGAAUAUCAGAUAUUUGUUCCCUUAAUAAUAAAAAGCC
Long non-coding RNA from Alligator sinensis (Chinese alligator), 1657 nucleotides. RefSeq lists it as uncharacterized. The record is from RefSeq and is a predicted model, not a curated record. NCBI's taxonomy places the organism in Eukaryota, Metazoa, Chordata, Crocodylia, Alligatoridae. The transcript has 3 exons.